UCCACUUAUAUAACUUCAUAUAGGUUUUAUCCUCCAUUUUUUACCGUUGUAAGCCAAAAGCCAAUUACAAAUGUUCAGACAGUAGAGGGUAUGCUUUGGAACCAAGCAACGAUCUUCAUGUAGACUUGGAAUGGAAAGCUUCAUUAGUCAGUAGCCAAUUCGGAAAUUGGUAAGCCUUGAAAAUGGCCGUUUCCGAACUGUUUUCCACGUUUAUUUUCUAUUUUCAUCUAAGGUGAAGGGUUACACGAAACUUGAUCCAAUAUGAAACCGAAGGCACAUUGGUUUCUUAUCAAAUGGUUAAGAAAUUCGAUCCUGAUCAAUAAAAAUCACAGCCUCUAGCAUCUUUUUUUUUUUCCUUUCUCUCACGUACCAUUCAUCAAAACAGAUGGGCAAAAGGCUUAUUCCAUCAUAGGUUUUUCAGAGGUUUCAAACCCUUUAGUUUUGAUUUGAGUUUCCACAUGCUGCAAGUACCCAUUACUCUAAGGGAAGAGAGAAAAUAGGAACAAUAAAUUGCAUAAAGAGGAUUUUUUGUGAUUUGAACGUAGGCCGGUUAAGUGUUUUAAGGGCUAGAGAAAGGGACCCAAGUGGUGGCACCUGUCAAAUGGAAUAGACAGCUAUCCCUACCUAAAGUCUAUCUGUAUGAAAAGCUCUCUUUGGCUUCUAAAAUUCAACUUAGUAACUCUUAAAUCAGAGAUUGGAAGACAUUAACAAAAGUCUUUUUGAACACUUUCAUUUUUCUGCAAUACUCGACAGACAUGUCCCGUGAAAUUGCCAUAAAAAAUCUUCAAUACAUACCGUAUAUUGUCGGCCAACGACUGUCGCCAAAAGAAUAUUAUUUUUCUUACGUAAUCUACAUGUAGUCAAGAGACAUGUGCAUCUUGCUUAACAAAUUAUAAAAACGUGUACUUUCUACUUUCUUGGCAAGACCUUGCUUCUUUCGAUGGCUUCUAAACCCAUCUUCUAAACCCAUCUACUGUAAUAUCUAACUCAAAUAAUAAUUGAGCUAGAUUAAUAUAAAAAUUUAUUAAUUUAUUAUGAUAUUAUUUAAUUAAAAAAAU
This 1058-nucleotide long non-coding RNA is filed under the name Durio zibethinus. RNAcentral's name for it is "long non-coding RNA (DZIB_LNC001902)". The record is from RNAcentral. Lineage: Eukaryota; Viridiplantae; Streptophyta; Magnoliopsida; Malvales; Malvaceae.